This 85-nucleotide transfer RNA is filed under the name Alphaproteobacteria bacterium. RNAcentral describes it as "tRNA-Leu". It matches the Rfam family "tRNA". Rfam says of the family: Transfer RNA (tRNA) molecules are approximately 80 nucleotides in length. Their secondary structure includes four short double-helical elements and three loops (D, anti-codon, and T loops). The record is from RNAcentral. Lineage: Bacteria; Pseudomonadati; Pseudomonadota; Alphaproteobacteria.
GCCCGCUUGGUGGAAUUGGUAGACACAAGGGACUUAAAAUCCCUCGGCUUCGGCCGUGCCGGUUCGAUCCCGGCAGCGGGCACCA